Oncorhynchus keta (chum salmon) is the source of this 356-nucleotide long non-coding RNA. RefSeq lists it as uncharacterized. Lineage: Eukaryota; Metazoa; Chordata; Actinopteri; Salmoniformes; Salmonidae. The record is from RefSeq and is a predicted model, not a curated record. The transcript has 4 exons.
GUGAGAUCUAUGAACAGGUGAGAUCUGUGAACAGGUGAGAUCUAUGAACAGGUGAGAUCUAUGAACAGGUGAGAUCUAUGAACAGGUGAGAUCUAUGAACAGGUGAGAUCUAUGAACAGGUGAGAUCUGUGAACAGGUGAGAUCUGUGAACAGGUGAGAUCUAUGAACAGGUGAGAUCUAUGAACAGGUGAGAUCUGUGAACAGGUGAGAUCUAUGAACAGGUGAGAUCUAUGAACAGGUGAGAUCUGUGAACAGGUGAGAUCUGUGAACAGGUGAGAUCUGUGAACAGGUGAGAUCUGUGAACAGGUGAGAUCUGUGAACAGGUGAGAUCUGUGAACAGGUGAGAUCUAUGAACA